UGAUUUGUCUGGUUAAUUCCGUUAACGAUCGAGACCUUAGCCUGCUAACUAGUCGCGACGAUCUCGAUCGCCGUCGACUUCUUAGAGGGACUUUGUGGUUUUAAAACACAAGGAAGUUUGAGGCAAUAACAGGUCUGUGAUGCCCUUAGAUGUUCUGGGCCGCACGCGCGCUACACUGACGACUUCAACAAGUUUUUUGGCAUUGCCAAAUUUCCUUGGCCGGAAGGUCUGGGUAAUCUUUUAAAAGGUCGUCGUGAUGGGGCUAGAUUCUUGCAAUUAUUAAUCUCCAACGAGGAACC
Molecule: ribosomal RNA, 299 nt
Filed under: Thraustochytriidae sp.
Lineage: Eukaryota; Bigyra; Thraustochytrida; Thraustochytriidae
Description: Thraustochytriaceae sp. partial small subunit ribosomal RNA
Rfam family: Eukaryotic small subunit ribosomal RNA
Source: RNAcentral